Non-coding RNA from Vicia faba (fava bean), 312 nucleotides. The record is from the annotation of a GenBank genome assembly. NCBI's taxonomy places the organism in Eukaryota, Viridiplantae, Streptophyta, Magnoliopsida, Fabales, Fabaceae.
AUGAUGUGCUUGCUUUCCGCAAAUCCUGUAACAUUUGAAACUUUCAAGUCAGUUGAAACUCCCAUACACUCGAAGAUAUUGAGUUUCGUCGUGACGGCACUGUUUCUCUACAGUGGUCAAGUUUCUAUUGUUCCUCAGAAACAUAAGCCUAGGCCUGAUUGCAGCGACCGUGGCUGUCGGUAUACGCUUUGUACGUCAUCUGUUGAUCUCACUCUUGACACUCUCUCUUCCGCGAAAUACUUCGGCAUUGAAUGGUUACAUUGCUUAGAAACAACUUGCAAGCAUGGUGAAGAAAAAAAAACUUCCAUUUGA